RNAcentral lists this ribosomal RNA (596 nucleotides) under uncultured bacterium. Its description in RNAcentral is "bacterial SSU rRNA". It matches the Rfam family "Bacterial small subunit ribosomal RNA", at positions 79 to 690 of the family's 1533-position model. The record is from RNAcentral.
AGUGAAGCUCUCACGAGUGGCGGACGGGUGAGUAACGCGUGGGCAACCUGCCGUAUACAGGGGGAUAACACUUAGAAAUAGGUGCUAAAACCGCAUAAGCGCACAAAGGCCGCAUGGCCGGGUGCGAAAAACUCCGGUGGUAUACGAUGGACCCGCGUCCGAUUAGCUAGUUGGCGGGAUAAGAGCCCACCAAGGCGACGAUCGGUAGCCGGCCUGAGAGGGUGACCGGCCACAUUGGGACUGAGACACGGCCCAAACUCCUACGGGAGGCAGCAGUGGGGAAUAUUGCACAAUGGGGGAAACCCUGAUGCAGCGACGCCGCGUGAGUGAAGAAGUAUUUCGGUAUGUAAAGCUCUAUCAGCAGGGAAGAAAAAAGACGGUACCUGAGUAAGAAGCCCCGGCUAACUACGUGCCAGCAGCCGCGGUAAUACGUAGGGGGCAAGCGUUAUCCGGAUUUACUGGGUGUAAAGGGAGCGUAGACGGCCAGGCAAGUCUGAAGUGAAAGCCCGGGGCUCAACCUCGGGACCGCUUUGGAAACUGCCCGGCUAGAGUGCUGGAGAGGUAAGCGGAAUUCCUAGUGUAGCCGGUGAAAUGCG